RNAcentral lists this small RNA (28 nucleotides) under Bombyx mori (domestic silkworm). RNAcentral describes it as "ovarian small RNA-11250". Lineage: Eukaryota; Metazoa; Arthropoda; Insecta; Lepidoptera; Bombycidae. The record is from RNAcentral.
ACCCAAAAAAGACCAAUGUGAUCUGUGC